AACAGACGAGGAGCUUGCUCCUCUGACGUUAGCGGCGGACGGGUGAGUAACACGUGGAUAACCUACCUAUAAGACUGGGAUAACUUCGGGAAACCGGAGCUAAUACCGGAUAAUAUAUUGAACCGCAUGGUUCAAUAGUGAAAGACGGUUUUGCUGUCACUUAUAGAUGGAUCCGCGCCGCAUUAGCUAGUUGGUAAGGUAACGGCUUACCAAGGCAACGAUGCGUAGCCGACCUGAGAGGGUGAUCGGCCACACUGGAACUGAGACACGGUCCAGACUCCUACGGGAGGCAGCAGUAGGGAAUCUUCCGCAAUGGGCGAAAGCCUGACGGAGCAACGCCGCGUGAGUGAUGAAGGUCUUCGGAUCGUAAAACUCUGUUAUUAGGGAAGAACAAAUGUGUAAGUAACUAUGCACGUCUUGACGGUACCUAAUCAGAAAGCCACGGCUAACUACGUGCCAGCAGCCGCGGUAAUACGUAGGUGGCAAGCGUUAUCCGGAAUUAUUGGGCGUAAAGCGCGCGUAGGCGGUUUUUUAAGUCUGAUGUGAAAGCCCACGGCUCAACCGUGGAGGGUCAUUGGAAACUGGAAAACUUGAGUGCAGAAGAGGAAAGUGGAAUUCCAUGUGUAGCGGUGAAAUGCGCAGAUAUCAUG
This 650-nucleotide ribosomal RNA is filed under the name Staphylococcus sp. SCULCB HBCM-10. RNAcentral describes it as "bacterial SSU rRNA". It matches the Rfam family "Bacterial small subunit ribosomal RNA", at positions 68 to 701 of the family's 1533-position model. Lineage: Bacteria; Bacillati; Bacillota; Bacilli; Caryophanales; Staphylococcaceae. The record is from RNAcentral.